GCGGUCGUGGUGGAAUUGGUAGACACGCUACUUUGAGGGGGUAGUGGGCGUCAGCCUGUGUCGGUUCGAGUCCGACCGACCGCA
This 84-nucleotide transfer RNA is filed under the name Chitinispirillaceae bacterium. RNAcentral describes it as "tRNA-Leu". It matches the Rfam family "tRNA". Rfam says of the family: Transfer RNA (tRNA) molecules are approximately 80 nucleotides in length. Their secondary structure includes four short double-helical elements and three loops (D, anti-codon, and T loops). The record is from RNAcentral. Lineage: Bacteria; Pseudomonadati; Fibrobacterota; Chitinispirillia; Chitinispirillales; Chitinispirillaceae.